UACAGAGGGUGCAAACGUUGUUCGGAAUUACUGGGCGUAAAGCGCGUGUAGGCGGCAGCGCAAGUCGGAUGUGAAAUCCCACGGCUCAACCAUGGAAGUGCACCCGAAACUGCGUCGCUAGAGUCCUGGAGAGGAAGGUGGAAUGCUUGGUGUAGAGGUGAAAUUCGUAGAUAUCAAGCGGAACACCGGUGGCGAAGGCGGCCUUCUGGACAGUGACUGACGCUGAGACGCGAAAGCGUGGGGAGCAAACAGG
This 253-nucleotide ribosomal RNA is filed under the name uncultured bacterium. RNAcentral's name for it is "partial 16S ribosomal RNA". It matches the Rfam family "Bacterial small subunit ribosomal RNA", at positions 524 to 776 of the family's 1533-position model. The record is from RNAcentral.